This 443-nucleotide ribosomal RNA is filed under the name uncultured bacterium. RNAcentral describes it as "partial 16S ribosomal RNA". It matches the Rfam family "Bacterial small subunit ribosomal RNA", at positions 338 to 795 of the family's 1533-position model. The record is from RNAcentral.
CCUACGGGUGGCAGCAGUGGGGAAUAUUGGGCAAUGGGCGCAAGCCUGACCCAGCAACGCCGCGUGAAGGAAGAAGGCUUUCGGGUUGUAAACUUCUUUUCUGAGGGACGAAGAAAGAGACGGUACCUCAGGAAUGAGCCACGGCUAACUACGUGCCAGGAGCCGCGGUGAUACGUAGGUGGCAAGCGUUAUCCGGAUUUAUUGGGUGUAAAGGGCGUGUAGGCGGGAAAGCAAGUCAGAUGUGAAAACUCAGGGCUCAACCCUGAGCCUGCAUUUGAAACUGUUUUUCUUGAGUGCAGGAGAGGCAGUCGGAAUUCCGAGUGUAGCGGUGAAAUGCGUAGAUAUAAGGAGGAACACCAGUGGCGAAGGCGGAUUGCUGGACAGUAACUGACGCUGAGGCGCGAAAGCGUGGGGAGCAAACAGGAUUAGAUACCCUUGUAGUC